GACGAACGCUGGCGGCGUGCUUAACACAUGCAAGUCGAACGGAGAAUUUAUUUCGGUAGAUUCUUAGUGGCGAACGGGUGAGUAACGCGUGGGCAACCUGCCCUUCAGAUGGGGACAACAUUCCGAAAGGGGUGCUAAUACCGAAUACGAUCAUUCCUCCGCAUGGAGGGAUGAUGAAAGAUGGCCUCUAUUUAUAAGCUAUCGCUGAAGGAUGGGCCUGCGUCUGAUUAGCUAGUUGGUGGGGUAACGGCCUACCAAGGCGAUGAUCAGUAGCCGGUCUGAGAGGAUGAACGGCCACAUUGGGACUGAGACACGGCCCAAACUCCUACGGGAGGCAGCAGUGGGGAAUAUUCCGCAAUGGACGAAAGUCUGACGGAGCAACGCCGCGUGAGUGAUGAAGGUUUUCGGACUGUAAAACUCUGUUGUUUAGGACGAAAGUGCCUGUUGCAAAUAGUUGCAGGUAUUGACGGUACUGAACGAGGAAGCCACGGCUAACU
This 497-nucleotide ribosomal RNA is filed under the name uncultured bacterium. RNAcentral's name for it is "bacterial SSU rRNA". It matches the Rfam family "Bacterial small subunit ribosomal RNA", at positions 28 to 502 of the family's 1533-position model. The record is from RNAcentral.